CACAACGGGUGGAGCUUGCGGUUUAAUUGGAUUCAACGCCGGAAAUCUUACCGGGACCGACAGCAAUAUGAAGGCCAGGCUGAAGACUUUGCCGGAUUAGCUGAGAGGUGGUGCAUGGCCGUCGCCAGUUCGCGCCGUGAGGUGUCCUGUUAAGUCAGGCAACGAGCGAGACCCACGCCAACAGUUGCUAGCUCGUCCUCCGGGAUGGAGAGGACACUGUUGGGACCGCCUCUGCUAAAGGGGAGGAAGGAAUGGGCAACGGUAGGUCAGCAUGCCCCGAAUUAUCCGGGCUACACGCGGGCUACAAUGGUCAGGACAAUGGGUUCCGACACCGAAAGGUGAAGGCAAUCUCCUAAACCUGUCCGAAGUUCGGAUUGCGGGUUGUAACUCACCCGCAUGAAGCUGGAAUCCGUAGUAAUCGCGUUUCACCAUAACGCGGUGAAUAAGUCCCUGCUCC
RNAcentral lists this ribosomal RNA (457 nucleotides) under uncultured archaeon. Its description in RNAcentral is "bacterial SSU rRNA". It matches the Rfam family "Archaeal small subunit ribosomal RNA", at positions 880 to 1336 of the family's 1478-position model. The record is from RNAcentral.